This 518-nucleotide ribosomal RNA is filed under the name uncultured bacterium. Its description in RNAcentral is "bacterial SSU rRNA". It matches the Rfam family "Bacterial small subunit ribosomal RNA", at positions 8 to 518 of the family's 1533-position model. The record is from RNAcentral.
AGAGUUUGAUUAUGGCUCAGAUUGAACGCUGGCGGCAGGCUUAACACAUGCAAGUCGAGCGGGGAAAUGUAGCUUGCUACAUUACCUAGCGGCGGACGGGUGAGUAAUGCUUAGGAAUCUGCCUAUUAGUGGGGGGACAACAUCUCGAAAGGGAUGCUAAUACCGCAUACGUCCUACGGGAGAAAGCAGGGGACCUUCGGGCCUUGCGCUAAUAGAUGAGCCUAAGUCGGAUUAGCUAGUUGGUGGGGUAAAGGCCUACCAAGGCGACGAUCUGUAGCGGGUCUGAGAGGAUGAUCCGCCACACUGGGACUGAGACACGGCCCAGACUCCUACGGGAGGCAGCAGUGGGGAAUAUUGGACAAUGGGGGGAACCCUGAUCCAGCCAUGCCGCGUGUGUGAAGAAAGGCCUUUUGGUUGUAAAGCACUUUAAGCGAGGAGGAGGCUACCAAGAUUAAUACUCUUGGAUAGUGGACGUUACUCGCAGAAUAAGCACCGGCUAACUCUGUGCCAGCCGCAGC